This 252-nucleotide ribosomal RNA is filed under the name uncultured bacterium. RNAcentral's name for it is "partial small subunit ribosomal RNA". It matches the Rfam family "Bacterial small subunit ribosomal RNA", at positions 26 to 291 of the family's 1533-position model. The record is from RNAcentral.
AGGACGAACGCUGGCGGCGUGCUUAACACAUGCAAGUCAAGGGGGGCCGCAAGGUCAACCGGCGAACGGGUGCGUAACACGUGAGCAACCUGCCUUAGUGUGGGGGAUAGCCGGCCCAACGGCCGGGUAAUACCGCAUACGCUCACUGGGUGGCAUCACCUGGUGAAGAAACUUUCGAGGCACUAAGAGGGCUCGCGGCCUAUCAGCUUGUUGGUGGGGUAAUGUCCUACCAAGGCGACGACGGUAGCUGGU